RNAcentral lists this unclassified non-coding RNA (345 nucleotides) under soil metagenome. RNAcentral's name for it is "partial contains 5.8S ribosomal RNA, internal transcribed spacer 2, and large subunit ribosomal RNA". The stretch from base 1 to 120 matches the Rfam family "5.8S ribosomal RNA", at positions 35 to 154 of the family's 154-position model. The record is from RNAcentral.
GAUGAAGAACGCAGCGAAAUGCGAUACGUAAUGUGAAUUGCAGAAUUCAGUGAAUCAUCGAGUCUUUGAACGCACAUUGCGCCCCCUGGUAUUCCGGGGGGCAUGCCUGUCCGAGCGUCAUUGCUGCCCUCAAGCACGGCUUGUGUGUUGGGCCUCCGUCCUCCUCCCGGGGGACGGGCCCGAAAGGCAGCGGCGGCACCGCGUCCGGUCCUCGAGCGUAUGGGGCUUCGUCACCCGCUCUUGUAGGCCCGGCCGGCGCUUGCCGACACAUCAAUCUUUUUUCCCGGUUGACCUCGGAUCAGGUAGGGAUACCCGCUGAAAUUAAGCAUAUCAAUAAGCGGAGGA